This 1402-nucleotide ribosomal RNA is filed under the name uncultured organism. RNAcentral describes it as "bacterial SSU rRNA". It matches the Rfam family "Bacterial small subunit ribosomal RNA". The record is from RNAcentral.
CUGGCGGCGCGGAUUAGGCAUGCAAGUCGUACGCGAAAGUUGCUUCGGGUGGCGAGUAGAGUGGCGAAAGGGUGAGUAAUGCAUGGUUAACAUACCCUGGAGACCGGGAUAACUUGCUGAAAGGGGGCUAUACCGGAUGGUUUCCCACGGGAAUAAACGGCGGGGCUCCUUCGGGACCUGCUGCUCCAGGAGUGGACCAUGUCCCAUCAGUUAGUUGGUGAGGUAAGAGCUCACCAAGGCAAUGACGGGUAGCUGGUCUGAGAGGAUGGUCAGCCACACUGGGACUGAGACACUGCCCAGACUUCUACGGGAGGCUGCAGUCGAGAAUCAUCCGCAAUGGGCGCAAGCCUGACGGUGCGACGCCGCGGGAAGGAUGAGGGCCUUCGGGUUGUAAACUUCUAACACGGGUUAAGAAACGCCUGGCAUUAAUAGUGUCGGGUUUGACGUAACCCCGAGAUGAAGCACUGGCUAACUUCGUGCCAGCAGCCGCGGUAAGACGAAGUGUGCGAGCGUUGUUCGGAAUCACUGGGCGUAAAGGGUGCGUAGGCGGCAUGGUAAGUCAGGUGUGAAAUCCCCCGGCUCAACCGGGGAAUUGCUUUUGAUACUGCCAUGCUUGAGAGCGAAAGGGGCAAGCGGAAUUCCAGGUGUAGCGGUGGAAUGCGUAGAUAUCUGGGAGAACGCCGAUGGCGAAGGCAGCUUGCUGGGUCGCGUCUGACGCUGAGGCACGAAAGCUAGGGGAGCGAACAGGAUUAGAUACCCUGGUAGUCCUAGCCGUAAACGAUGGGCACUACGUUCCGGAGGGCCUGAUCCCUUCGAAGCGUGAGUUAACGCAUUAAGUGCCCCGCCUGGGGAGUAUGGUCGCAAGGCUAAAACUCAAAGGAAUUGACGGGGGCUCACACAAGCGGUGGAGCAUGUUGUUCAAUUCGAAGCAACGCGAAGAACCUUACCUGGGCUUGACAUGCUAGUAGUACGAACCCGAAAGGGGGAGGACUCUUAACCGAGAGCUAGCACAGGUGCUGCAUGGCUGUCGUCAGCUCGUGUCGUGAGACGUUGGGUUAAGUCCCGUAACGAGCGAAACCCUUGUUGUCUGUUGCCAUCGGGUCAUGCCGGGCACUCUGGCAAGACUGCCGGUGUUAAACCGGAGGAAGGCGGGGACGACGUCAAGUCAUCAUGGUCCUUACGUCCAGGGCUACAAACGUGCUACAAUGGCCAGUACAGAGAGAAGCGAGACCGCGAGGUGGAGCAAAUUUUCAAAGCUGGCCCCAGUUCGGAUUGGAGGCUGCAAUUCGCCUCCAUGAAGUUGGAAUCGCUAGUAAUCGCGGAUCAGCAACGCCGCGGUGAUAUGUUCCUGAGCCUUGUACACACCGCCCGUCAAGCCACCCAAGCUGGAAGCACCCGAAGU